UGGGAAUUGAGUAUAACAGUGUCGGAACAUUAUAAGUAUAACUUAUCCUCAGAAUGACACAGCUACUGCAAAAAAGGACUUCUAACAAGGCCAGUAGUAUAUAUCAGGGAUCAUGCUGUAUUUGGAAUAUCAAAAGAAAGAAGGAAACAAGAAACUUGGACAAGCUGAAAAUCACAUUUAUAGUUCCACAGCAUUCAUCACUUUGCUCAUGUUUUCUUGACUAAAUAAACAACAAAUGAACAAAC
This 245-nucleotide long non-coding RNA is filed under the name Fukomys damarensis (Damara mole-rat). Its description in RNAcentral is "lncRNA (ENSFDAG00000023115.1)". Lineage: Eukaryota; Metazoa; Chordata; Mammalia; Rodentia; Bathyergidae. The record is from RNAcentral.